AUUAGAUUAGCCUAGUUUACAUUGUGUAUUUGGGAAGAUAUAGAAAAAAACCCCACAAUUGUCAGUUAGGUCUGAAGGGACAUAGUUGAGUCUGAACUUUGGUCUCAGUAGAUGCAAACACACCUCUCUUUGGACAGACUGACUUGAGUGACCACACCAGAGGGUUCCUAACCCAUGCUGCAGCCUGGCCAUCAUCUCACCUUUUAUCGUGAGACAAAUGCCAGUGGGAGUGAGGUGUCUAGGGCCAGUUCUUAGGAACUGUGCAACACCACCUCUACCACGUUACAUAGCAGAGCCAGAACUGCUUAGUAAAAUGGUCUGCAUAUGUGUAGCGGAAAUUCUAAGUCACAGUUUGAAGCAGUGAUGGAGCACCUGGUGGGAGGAGGGGCCAAUCCACAGGUGCACACAGUGAAGCUGAGUGACAGGAAGGGCUGGAGCCAAGAUGAACCCCCUUCCCAGCCGUCAUUUAAGGGUUAGCAGUGUAGGUGAAGGUGUCUUGUUUCAAAUCCCUUCCCAUCUCAGGCAUUCUGAAGGCUCAGUACCACCUUCUCCAACACACGCUGCAGCAGCUGGAUGGAGGAUGGGCUCUCAGACAGAACUACUCAAGGUUAUCUGUGAGAUGUGCAACGUACCUUGAGGAGACUAAGUUUCAUACUCUGGGCAUGGAGGAAAUGGUGGUGGAAACAAUCCUGGCACCAUGGGAAAUACUGCUGGUCAUGUGUGCUGCAGUGCUGAUCAUGAGCUUCCUUAUGGUCCUGCCCCCUGCAGUAGUGGUGAUAUGGAGGAUGAAGCAUGUGCCUCAGAUCUCACUGCAUGGCUCGGUGUAAGCCAGCCACCUUCUUUCAAAGGCUGUUUCAGAACGAUGAAAUCUCUCAGGAUCACCAUUACUUCUCAAGGUCUGUCCUAAACACACUGUUUUCCCACUCUAUCACUGUUAAGUCCUGGUUAAAAGAGAAUGUGUCCAAUUCUGUUUUCAUUUGAUGCAGUGCUUUGCCUUCUGUUUUCUGUCUAUGCUGUAUUAUUGUUGGUAAUAUAAGUAAUAUAGGUACUUAAUUUCUACACUGUUGUCUUCUCUUUCACUAUACUGUACUGGAAACAAUACUGAAAACUAAGUAUUGUACAGUAUUGUAUUCCCUUAACUAAUAACCGGUAAAGUCUGCCUCUCUAUAUUUGAACUGCAAAUAGUACCAAAGCCUUCAUCAUCAUUGACAAGUUGUGGAUGCGUCAAAGUAAGCAGUAUAGUCUGGUUGUACUGUGAAACCUACAUAAACAGGGUAUGGUGCAACAAAUAAGCAUCUCCGUCUUAUUUUUCUGAUUUGAAAUUGUUGGCAUCUAAUGUUUCUUGUUGCUUUAAUGCAAUAUUAAUGUUCUUCUCUUUGUUAAAUCCCAAGUGUCAGGAUGCAAAGCCCUUCCCACUCCAGGGCUGGAACGAGAGGCUUAGCCCAAUGCUUAGACUUGCCCAGCCAGAUACCAGCUCAUAGUUAGUGCAAACAUACGGCAACUAUUUCCCUAAAUUACAUUAUGCAAAUUUACUCUGGAAAGUAAUGUCAUUAAAUUUGCUAUAGUUUUUAACUGUGUUGUACAGGCUUAUUGGUUCAACUGCCCCUUCUCACAUAUAAAUAACAAAUUGGAUGGUGAGAAUAGAACAGAACAACCUCUCUGCAAUUUUAUAACAAUAAUAAUUUUUUGCUUAAUAUCAAAUUCAUGCAAUAUCAUAUUAAAGCCUUCCAGCCCAUUUCUUCUGCAUUAAGUGAAGCUUAUUAGUAAGAUUUUUUUACAUGAAGAUUUAACUGUUUUUAAUGCUUUACAAGAAGAAUGGGCUUGAGUUCCUUAUGAAGUCCAAUAUUGUGUUUCUUUUCCUUUGUUAGUUGGUUUGGAAAGUUGCUAGAUUAGCUCAGUAAAACUCAGAAUUAUUUAUAGUACCAGUAGAAAGAUGAUAAUGGCAAGUGCUCAGUGCUUCAGGCAGAUAUUGCAUUUGGGCAUCAGCUGAUAACGGUUUGGCUGCAAAUGAAAGACUCAAGGACAUUAUAACUCUGUUUGAUACAGACAAUUUUUUUGUCAGAAAUGAACACCAAUCUCUGAAAAACAUUUGCUUUUCUUUAAGACUGCAGCCUUUUUCUCACAAAUGCUGUGACUUAAGCUACAGCCUUACGGUUCCUUUGUAGUCAAAGCAGUCAACUCAUCCCUUGCUUGAUUUAAUUGCUACUCUAAGGAAGUUGUGUGACUGGCUGGUUCUGGGCCCAAAAACAAUGGGUGGAUUUUUGCUUGCAAUAGCUGCAUUCUAAGCCUGAAAGGCAGCGUCUAAUUUUACCUGAAUAAUAUUACUUAUUUGAAUCAUUUAAGCAACUAAUGGGGAUUAAGUUGAACUAAACAUCAUGUAUACAUGUAUACCUGUAAUUGCGGUCUGUAUCUGAAAGAUUCACAAGAACAAGGAGAAAGUGAAGAGAAGGGAAAUGCAAACAGAUGGGCUGGUUGUCUUCAGACUUGUGGCUUCAAUGUUUACUCAGCAGAUGAGAAGUAAAACCAAACCCUGAGCUCAGAUUCCACUGAAAAUCAAGCAAGCAAUAACUAAGCUUUCUCUUCAAAUUUCACCAUAAUUCAGAUAUAUGUAUGCUCUGUAGCAACAGCUCCACAAAUAAAGUCCAUAUCCAGCACGAUGUUGUCUCUGGUCUUUACUCAUGCUGAAUGCUAGGUGACCAAAAACCAGGGCUUUCUGCUCUUUAUUCUUCAUUCUCUCAUCUCUAGUGUACUCAUGGUCACUAGGGAUGUGUAAGGAGGUGUCAAAGAAGUACUUGCUGAAGGAAGUGGAGUGGAAGCAGGAACAAAUGUUUUUGUAUUUCAGUGUAAGAAUAAAUGACCAAAAAAAAAUUACUUGAUCAUAUCUUUGUUCACAUUUCAGUUGCUUUGAAUUUGGAUGAUGAGCUGAAUUUUUGCUAAUGGUGGUAACAGCCAAAUAUGCCUUGGUGUAGACUGGAUUUGGAAGUAUGGUAAUGGGAGGGAGGCCAAGGAGAGUGACUGCCAUGAGCUACAGGUAUCUUGGGCUAGUCUCAGGAACUGCCCCAGCACAGCUAUACUGACACCAAAACAUCUUAGCCAGUCAGCCCCACGCUCAGCCCAAAGCCCUGUAGCUUCAUUAUAAUGCAGGCUGCCCAGAGAGGCUGUGGAUGCCCCAUCCCUGGAGGUGUUCAAGGCCAGAUUGGAUGGGGCCCUGGGCAGCCUUGUCUGGUAUUCAAUGCAGAGAUUGGUGGCCCUGCCUGCGGCAGAGGUUUGGAGAUUCAUGAUCUUAAGGUCCUUUUCAACCUUGGCUAUUCUGUGACUCUGGACCUCAGAUGCAUUUGUAUUCCUCUUCUGAAGCUUAACCACAGCUUGCAGAAACCUCUGCCUAAUAAGACAUGAUAGAAAUCUGUGAUAAUUUAGGAUGAUCCCAUUUCUCACAUUUUGUGCCAGACUGAAAUGUUGCAUUUUUUCUGCUGUUUUAUCUAGCUACAGCAAGAAUACAGGGCGCUUUUAGAGUGCUAUAAAUGCUCUGAACUAUGCCUGAUUGUAUAUAGUUCUGUGGGAAAUCCUCAGGCUUGUAAAUGCAAAUGGAAAGAUGUUUGAGCUGCUCCCCCAGCAAACUGCAGAGUUUGAUAUCCUUAGCUCAUGUGAGCCACAGAACCCUAAACACCUGAUUUCACCCCCGAGCACACAGGUGCAUGCACAGAGUUGUUUCCUAUAGCCAUAGCUGUUGUGACUUGCACUGUUUUAAUGGUCAUCAAAGCAAUGACAUUGAUUAACUGACACCUGUGAAAGCAACCAGAAGUAAAACUCUUCCUCCAUAAAAAUGAUCCUUCUUUACAGAAGUUGAUUUUUGACAACAGUUAUUGUGUUUAACUAAUGACCGCAUCAAUUAAGAGACUAAUUCCCUUCUAAUUAUGGUAAGACAAAUUUAAGGCAUAAAAAUACAAGCU
Molecule: non-coding RNA, 3950 nt
Organism: Coturnix japonica (Japanese quail)
Lineage: Eukaryota; Metazoa; Chordata; Aves; Galliformes; Phasianidae
Source: RefSeq, a predicted model, not a curated record